AAACCAACAGGGAUUGCCUUAGUAGCGGCGAGUGAAGCGGCAAAAGCUCAAAUUUGAAAUCUGGCACUUUCAGUGUCCGAGUUGUAAUUUGAAGAAGGUAUCUUUGGGUUUAGCUCUUGUCUAUGUUUCUUGGAACAGAACGUCACAGAGGGUGAGAAUCCCGUGCGAUGAGAUGUCUAAACCUAUGUAAAGUUCCUUCGAAGAGUCGAGUUGUUUGGGAAUGCAGCUCUAAGUGGGUGGUAAAUUCCAUCUAAAGCUAAAUAUUGGCGAGAGACCGAUAGCGAACAAGUACAGUGAUGGAAAGAUGAAAAGAACUUUGAAAAGAGAGUGAAAAAGUACGUGAAAUUGUUGAAAGGGAAGGGCUUGAGAUCAGACUUGGUAUUUUGUAUGUUGUUCUCUUCGGGGGGCGGCCUCUACAGUUUACCGGGCCAGCAUCAGUUUGAGCGGUAGGACAAUUGCAAAGGAAUGUGGCUUGGCUUCGGUUGAGUGUUAUAGCCUUUGUCGAUACUGCCAGCUUAGACUGAGGACUGCGGCUUCGGCCUAGGAUGCUGGCAUAAUGAUCUUAAGUCGC
This 571-nucleotide ribosomal RNA is filed under the name Lodderomyces oxycetoniae. Its description in RNAcentral is "eukaryotic LSU rRNA". It matches the Rfam family "Eukaryotic large subunit ribosomal RNA", at positions 62 to 648 of the family's 3401-position model. The record is from RNAcentral. Lineage: Eukaryota; Fungi; Ascomycota; Pichiomycetes; Serinales; Debaryomycetaceae.